AUGGUACAGCUCUCUACUGGCUUAUGCACCAGGAGAGGCUCCCCAAACAAACUGAAGAUGGUGACAACUGUGCGGCAAGAGCAGCAGGUUAGAAAGGCUGCAGUGUUGCUCUCGUUUGAAUUCAGAAGCAGAUGCUAUAAAUUAUCUUGCAAAUGGAGCUGUAGGAAUGAUUUUCUGCCUCGCCUCCAUAAUUUGUUGGCACUUUAUCUAGGUACACAGCUGCGGGUGGGGUGUCCUCGCAGGAGGGAGAAGGCAGCGCGCUAUCGGCCCACAUACUAACUUGUGCUGGGAGAGAUGAUUAUGGGCUGGGUGCAGCUCCACUAGCGGAGAGGAGCAGACAAAAAACACUUUUCCCCUAGGGCAGGGUGUGCGCAAGGCGGUACAAACUCCCACUCCUGAUAUAGAAAUGUUCCCUAAACUGAGGACUAGGAUGAGAUGAACCAGUUCUGUAUUCUAAACCAGUUCUGUAUUCAGAGCAGCUUGUGGGCUACAUAAAACCUCCCAAAAUUCAGACGGACCCUGUGCUUCUUUCCCUUUUCAAGGAAAAGGGGGUAUGGAAGGGGAUAAUUUAGUACUAGACAGAUGAAAAAUACAGUGCUAAGUUGACUUAAAUCUAUCUAAUUGGGAAAGAGACUCCAUGCCUUGGGGUGUUUGCAGGGAAAUGGUAGCCUUAUUCUUCACAGGUGUUUUGCAGAUGCGACUUCUCCCCCUUGCAGUAUCCUAUAUGUUGCACUUCAACGUGUCAACUCCAUGAGCUGGACCCAGGAGCAUGUGAUAUCUAUACCUAAACGUAGAGAUCUGAGGUGAGCUGUGAGGCAGAUCAUUUACAGAAUCCUCACGUUGCUUAUGGGAUAUUCAGUCCUGCGUCAUCUGCUAAUUCUGUGUCUUGAAGGUCUACAGAAAGUGUCUCUGCAGGAUUACCUUCUGGCAGCUUCACUUAGUUGCAAUGGAGCCCUACAGAAAAUCUUUGCAAGUUUCCUUUGACUCUGUACGGAGAAUACUGUAAGAAAAAGAGAUAAGAAAAGAUGCGGUUAGCUCAAAAUCUACUCUCCCUCUCUUCAAAUGGCCACCAUACUGUUCUGAUGCCUUAUCAGAGAAAGAAAUUUACCUUUUUGGUAAUGUGAUGUGUAUCCUUUAUGAUGAUAGAGAGACAAAGCUUUAUCGGGCCAGUUUCCACACAUACAGAUGUAGAUGUGUGGAUUUUGUGUGUCUCAAGAGCUCACAAGAUAAACCUGCGAUAGGGAGUGGGGGCAGAACAUGCAAACAGAAUAGACAAAAU
Molecule: long non-coding RNA, 1279 nt
Filed under: Numida meleagris (helmeted guineafowl)
Lineage: Eukaryota; Metazoa; Chordata; Aves; Galliformes; Numididae
Description: lncRNA (ENSNMEG00000011090.1)
Source: RNAcentral